UUAAUUCGUAUUUUCUUUAAGCUCUCAACGGCAGUGUGCGUUAUUCUUCGCUAUAACAUGGCAAAAUUGGGGUUUUAGUAAGUAAUUUAGAAAAGUUGGGAAAGCGAAUUUACGGUAUGAAGUAUUUUAGAGCUUACGAAACUUCAAAACAUAUGAAGUGCUGUCAUUCAAUUUACCCAUUGUCUUAUACUCUAGACAUAAAUUAUAAUUAUCAGUCAUUUUAACCUGACAUUAAAAAGAUAAUAUUUGCAAUUCCGUACUACUAACUUUGUGCAAUAACAUGAUGCUAAUUUGCGAUCCCGUUCUGCUGAACCAAAUGAAGUAAAGUUUUUAAGCACUGUAGGCUG
Schizosaccharomyces pombe (fission yeast) is the source of this 347-nucleotide non-coding RNA. NCBI's taxonomy places the organism in Eukaryota, Fungi, Ascomycota, Schizosaccharomycetes, Schizosaccharomycetales, Schizosaccharomycetaceae. The record is from the annotation of a GenBank genome assembly.